This 1264-nucleotide ribosomal RNA is filed under the name metagenome. RNAcentral describes it as "bacterial LSU rRNA". It matches the Rfam family "Bacterial large subunit ribosomal RNA", at positions 1676 to 2925 of the family's 2925-position model. The record is from RNAcentral.
AAAUACCAAGGCGCUUGAGAGAACUCGGGUGAAGGAACUAGGCAAAAUGGCACCGUAACUUCGGGAGAAGGUGCGCCGGUGAGGGUGAAGCAUUUACUGCGUAAGCCCAUGCCGGUCGAAGAUACCAGGCCGCUGCGACUGUUUAUUAAAAACACAGCACUCUGCAAACACGAAAGUGGACGUAUAGGGUGUGACGCCUGCCCGGUGCCGGAAGGUUAAUUGAUGGGGUUAGCUAACGCGAAGCUCUUGAUCGAAGCCCCGGUAAACGGCGGCCGUAACAAUAACGGUCCUAAGGUAGCGAAAUUCCUUGUCGGGUAAGUUCCGACCUGCAAAUGGCGUAACGAUGGCGGCGCUGUCUCCACCCGAGACUCAGUGAAAUUGAAAUCGCUGUGAAGAUGCAGUGUAUCCGCGGCUAGACGGAAAGACCCCGUGAACCUUUACUAUAGCUUUGCACUGGACUUUGAAUUUGCUUGUGUAGGAUAGGAGGGAGGCUUUGAAGCGUGGACGCCAGUUCGCGUGGAGCCAACCUUGAAAUACCACCCUGGCAACUUUGAGGUUCUAACUCAGGUCCGUUAUCCGGAUCGAGGACAGUGUAUGGUGGGUAGUUUGACUGGGGCGGUCUCCUCCUAAAGAGUAACGGAGGAGUACGAAGGUGCGCUCAGACCGGUCGGAAAUCGGUCGUAGAGUAUAAAGGCAAAAGCGCGCUUGACUGCGAGACAGACACGUCGAGCAGGUACGAAAGUAGGUCUUAGUGAUCCGGUGGUUCUGUAUGGAAGGGCCAUCGCUCAACGGAUAAAAGGUACUCCGGGGAUAACAGGCUGAUACCGCCCAAGAGUUCAUAUCGACGGCGGUGUUUGGCACCUCGAUGUCGGCUCAUCACAUCCUGGGGCUGAAGCCGGUCCCAAGGGUAUGGCUGUUCGCCAUUUAAAGUGGUACGCGAGCUGGGUUUAGAACGUCGUGAGACAGUUCGGUCCCUAUCUGCCGUGGACGUUUGAGAUUUGAGAGGGGCUGCUCCUAGUACGAGAGGACCGGAGUGGACGAACCUCUGGUGUUCCGGUUGUCACGCCAGUGGCAUUGCCGGGUAGCUAUGUUCGGAAUAGAUAACGCUGAAAGCAUCUAAGCGGGAAACUAGCCUCAAGAUGAGAUCUCACUGGGACCUUGAGUCCCCUGAAGGGCCGUCGAAGACUACGACGUUGAUAGGUUGGGUGUGUAAGCGCUGUGAGGCGUUGAGCUAACCAAUACUAAUUGCCCGUGAGGCUUGACU